ACAGGAAGUGAGCAUGCAGCCAGAGAGCCUUGCUCAAGCCUUCCCCCCCAGCUUCUGGCCUGCAUAAAUGCAGGCAUGUGGUUGCAUUUCCUGAAUUAAAGAGUGGAACAAAGCACCGGGUUUCGUGCAACUCCACAGCUCUGCAAGAAGCCCUGCAGGCAGCCUGGUAGCAGCCUGGGACAGCAGGCUCCACCCAAGAAAAGUGACUGAAGGAUGGUUUUGGAUGUUCUCUGUGGGCAGUUUACAGCUGGCACAUUUCUGUUGGACAGAGCUAGGACAAGCAAGGAUGAGACUCCUGAUUGGGCACGUCUACACGAAACGCUUGGAACACAGUAGACUAAUUCUACUGCACAUUAGCACGGUGCAGUUUUACUGAAAGAUUCACAUAUUUUUGCGAGAGUACAGGAAGAAUUAUCUGCCAUGUGCUUAACUAAGGCUCUGCAAAAAGACACAAGUCUGUUUUACUCUACUGUGUAGCUUCGGACUGAGGCCUGUGUGCUCCUAAACUUGACUGUGCAUCUUAGACAAACUGAAUGAGUGAAGCACAGCACUAUCUGCUACAGAAUUAGCAGUCUCUGCUGAAAGGGGACCUUCUCUGGAGACCACUAUACAAGGUACAGUUGAAUGAUUGCAGAGGGAAACAACAUUUCUGCGACUCACCUGCAUUUAUCUUAAGGACAGCUCUACCAAAUAAUGAGGUGCGACAAUUUACCUAGACUUGGGAUCAUGGACCUGCUGAUAUAUUAUUGCUGUAAGCAAUAGGCUCAGAAUAAAGCAAAGUAAACAACUAUAUUAUGAUGCAAUGCACACUCAAGAGCAUUGCAAUUGUGAACAUAAUUGUAACAGCAGAUUCAUAUUGUCCAGCUAAAUGGAAAAUCUGUAAUUCAAGCCAUGAAGACAGCAGCUUGGUUUGUGACUUUCAGUAUCAUAAAUCUAAGGUUGGAAUCUUGCCCUGAACAUGCUACAUUGCAAGGUUCCUCUAUGGGUUUUUUUAAUUAAUCUAUAAUAAAAAUAGACUCAGAUGUCAAUUCACUGCUAAUAGGACUCACUGGAUACCAUCGCAGAACUGUUCCUAAUCAAUUAAUGUUUUUAACUUAGUUAAUCCAGUACAAAUAUACGUUAAUACCAUUAACAAACCCCCAUUCAUCACUAUGAUAGUGCCAUCAUAAUACCAGUUUCUGCUGCACUUAGAAUUACAUAGGGCAGGGAGGACAAAAAUUGGAGCCUGAAUAGAAAUAUCAUCUUGUUAUUGAAACAACAUCUUGAUAUUUUUACAAGCACAGUGCUAUCAGAGGAUAGAUGAAUGUUCCAGGAUAGAUAAUAAAUUAAACCCUUGUUUUCAUUCCAGAAAAAUAUCAUCACAAAUUUUAUAUUGUCCCAGUACACUAAUUGCAUGGAGAUUAUAAGAAUAUUCAAGGGAAGGAAACCUUCCUUUUCAAACAAGUGAUAACUUUUUCAGCCUCAGCUACGUUCCCUCCCAAAAAUAAAACUGUAAUUACAGAGUAAAGGGAGAGACCCAGAUUUACAGUUUGAGGGCUGUGGAGAUAAUAAUCCUAAUAAAUAGAGGACAGUGCCCAAUAAAAAUCAGUUAUGAUUUUGCCUUGUCCCUGACUGUAAUUUUCUCAUUCUGGUUGUGGGUGGACACAUAUUGCUUGAGCUACUCCUUCUGAGGAUCUCCAAAGUCAAUUUUUCACUCUUACAUUUCAGCAGCCUACACUUAUAGCAAACUUACAUUUAAUCUAACUGCUGUGUAUGAUCUAAGAAGCCUUAACUGCAGGACAGAAAACUGUUUAAAGUCUGUGUGAUUCAUGGAAGGUAAAAACAAUAAUUAUUUUUCAUCCAAAUGUUCUGAUCCAUUUUGCCCAAGGGAGACCAGCCAACAUAGAUUGCUUGAGACACAGCAUUUCCAGAUAAGGCAGUCUGGUACAGAAUUAGUAUGCAGGAGAUCCAAGUAUAAUUUUUAGCUCUGAUGCUGGUCUUCUACAUCAGUGUUUCCCAACCUUUUUGAGCCCAAGGUGCACUUACAUUAAGAAAAAAUUUCCAUGGCACACUUGUUCAGGCAUUCCCCAUCCCCAUACUUAUGAGCUCGUUGUAGCUCAUUGCCACGGCAAAAUUCUGUGGCACAGCUGUUCAGAGGCUCACAAACCGUGCAUCCCCCAUAGCCAACACAUGCACAGUAGAUGAUUUUCCUUCUGCUCUGCUGGUUCUCUCUCCCCCCCACAGCCAACACCUGUGCAAGUCUUCUGUAUCUCUUUUCAUUUUUCCAAAAGUCUUGCGACACACCAGGGAGCUCUUCACGGCACACUGGUGUGCUGCGGCACACUGGUUGAAAAGCACUGUUCUAUAUGACCCAGGCCAAGUCACUUUAUUUCCCUGCACCUUUGUUUCUAUUUUCAUUGUUCCCUGUAUUUAGACUGUAAGCUUUUCAGGGUAGAGACUUUUAUGGUGUUUGUACAAUGUCUAGCACAGUGAUUGUCAUGCUAUUUAGACUCAAGGCACCUCUUGGCUCUUAGAUUUCACUCGAUUUUUGACUACAGAAAAAUAAUGGAGUAAUUCUUUUGUUGCAAACAACUCAGAAAAACCAGAACAGAGGUUUUUUUGAGUUGUGUGCAACAAGGCAAAACAAUUUUUGUUUGCAACAGGGCAGAACAGUUUUAAGAUUAUGGAUUCCUAUUUGAAAUUUCUGGGUUUAUCUUGCAAACCAUAUUUACACACCUAACAGUGCUAAUGUUAUGUGGCACCCUGAGACACCCCUGAAGGGACUACAGAGCAGCACCCUGGUUGAGAAUUAUUUAUCUAGCACAACAGGGACCAUCUAAAAAAUGGCAUUUUUUACAAAAUUUUCUCAUCCUUUUGGAUCUCUUUUACCUGGAAAAUUCUCUGUUGAUUUCCCAGACAGGAGAAAGCCAGCUGGCUGCUUGGUAAUUUGAAAUAGCAUCUUUUACCUUUUUUAGGGAGGUGGUAUUUUUCUGUAGUGUAUGCAAGGAGCCUGCAUUCUUCUAGACUCUGAUCUCCCGUAUAACCCGAUAUGCCAAGAAGCUUCCUACUAGUUCAGCUGUAAAAUUCCCAGCUAUAAAACUGAGACACCUUUGUCAUGUAUUUCAAGAUCUUUUGAUGAAUGGUGCAAUAAGUGUAGUUAUUAACAGCAGAAAUAAGCGCAAAGCACAAAAUCCAGAUCCAUAUAUGUGGGAAGUAGGGAUGGGACUUAAUUUUUUUAACUGGGAUUGAAGCAUCCAUUCAGCUUCUUUUCUCUUUUUUAAUUAUUGCUCAUGGUGUCACAGGAACUCUAUGGCUAAGUAUGGACAGUCAAAAAGCCUGAGGCUGAGUCAAUUCAAUUUUUGCAGGUUAGUCUAAACUGUGUAGAUUGAACUAAUAAGCAAGUGAAUAGACAUUCACUUUUGAUUCUGAAAAUGCAGCCACAUGU
This is a long non-coding RNA of Alligator sinensis (Chinese alligator), 3424 nucleotides long. RefSeq lists it as uncharacterized. The record is from RefSeq and is a predicted model, not a curated record. Lineage: Eukaryota; Metazoa; Chordata; Crocodylia; Alligatoridae. The transcript is spliced from 4 exons.